This is a non-coding RNA of Schistosoma mattheei, 48 nucleotides long. The record is from Rfam. Lineage: Eukaryota; Metazoa; Platyhelminthes; Trematoda; Strigeidida; Schistosomatidae.
AUACAACUGAUGAGUCCCAAAUAGGACGAAACGCGCCUUGUCCUGGAU